Molecule: transfer RNA, 90 nt
Filed under: Candidatus Pelagibacteraceae bacterium
Lineage: Bacteria; Pseudomonadati; Pseudomonadota; Alphaproteobacteria; Candidatus Pelagibacterales; Candidatus Pelagibacteraceae
Description: tRNA-Ser
Rfam family: tRNA
About the family: Transfer RNA (tRNA) molecules are approximately 80 nucleotides in length. Their secondary structure includes four short double-helical elements and three loops (D, anti-codon, and T loops). Further hydrogen bonds mediate the characteristic L-shaped molecular structure. tRNAs have two regions of fundamental functional importance: the anti-codon, which is responsible for specific mRNA codon recognition, and the 3' end, to which the tRNAs corresponding amino acid is attached (by aminoacyl-tRNA synthetases). tRNAs cope with the degeneracy of the genetic code in two manners: having more than one tRNA (with a specific anti-codon) for a particular amino acid; and 'wobble' base-pairing, i.e. permitting non-standard base-pairing at the 3rd anti-codon position.
Source: RNAcentral
GGAAGAUUGGGUGAGUGGCUUAAACCAGUAGUUUGCUAAAUUGCCGUGGGGGCAACCCCACCGUGGGUUCGAAUCCCACAUCUUCCGCCA